CGCUCCUGCGUGGCGUCGCGUUUCGUUGUCUGCGCGCGGAUGUGCGCGACGUGUAAGCCACGAGUAGCUUCGCCAGGUCGGUUUCAGAUCGCUUUAACCUGGGCUUUGGUGUUUCUCUUCUCUUCCUUCUGUGUUCUUUUCAUCGCGCCGGCAGGGUUCGCUCAGUGGGUUAUCUGUUCUUCCUCUUCGUCAGCUGAGCUGCGGCGGGUCGUGCGGGUUUGGGUGGUGCUGCAGUGGUGGCUGAGCUGCGGCGGUGCGUGCAGGUUUGGGUGGCGCUGCGGUGGCCGCCCGUCUUUUUCGCGCCGGCUCUUUCUCGCUGGUGUGUCAUUCUAGAGGCACUCGAUGCUGAUUUGCUGCAAGAACUCCCAGCCCGAGGACGCUUGGCGUAGGUUGUGUCGCCGCUAUCGCCGUUACACUCCACCCGACGACCGCUUGGACGAGUAGACGGGAAAUUGUAGUAAGAUACACUGUCUCAUUUUAUCAUUGUUGCUUCAGACCUUCAGUAACACAUUGCAUAGUCUGUGCCAUCAAAUUAAAUCUGCAAGAGCCCAUAAAAUAUAUUCACGGUAAUGUACUGUAUAAUAUUUUCGUGAUUGUGGCUCGCAGCCAACUCCUAAAAACUUAAUCUUAUUGAUAUGUAAGAGGUCAGCAUUCUCUAUGGUGUUCCACAUAAAAAUUUAGACAUGUUUUCCUACAUAGAAGCCGUACAUUUGUACAGACAGUCAUGUAUUUCUUAUAUUUGAUUUAGUUUUAUUCCAAUAAGUAUCUUGGUUUGAACUAUUUUCCUACAACUGGUAUCUGAAAUUGUUCUUUUUCUACGAGGAGGUGACUAAGAGAACUAUGAAAGUGAGGAUUGAUGAUAGCAGCAUAAGCCUGGUGCGCUAUACUAUCCCAAAGCUAGAUUUCUUCUGUUACAAAUCAUUAUUGUUUUCAUUUUUUUCUUCUUGCACAAUCACUCUAAUAUUCCAGGAUUUUUUCUUUGUUAGUAAAAGUUGUAGUUGCACUUUGUUUACAAAAACUCUCUGUAGCUUUGACCAUGAAAUUGUUGAGAAUAAGCAAACAAGGAAGCUAUGAUUCGCUGAAUUUAAUUUGCAGAUGUGGAUCUUUUACUCCCACAACAAUUAGUCAUAAAUUUCUUUGACAUUAUUGUAAGACGGUAUCUUAUAAAUAGUCCUUACGAGGUUACCUAAAGAUCUACAGCAUGUACACCAUUGAAUGAAGAUGUUGCUCUGGUCAAGACAGGUACCUGACCUCCAAGAACUUAGUGGCAAGCAAAUUAACUGCAUCCAAAGUAUGACUCAUUUUUCUCAUAUGAAUUGUGCUUAUGACGUGUUAAUGAAACUUUUUAUAGAAUUAAUCUAUCAUGUAUGGACAUCGUUAACCAUUUUUUUAAUUACAUAGUACGACAAUCUCUAUUUACGUUUUUGCAUGACUUCCGGUUUUCUUGCAGCAUUGUUCAGUAAGUUUUUCUUUCAUACAUAGAAUACAAGCCACGAGAGAUGAUUUUGUGCACCUGGGCGUGCAUACACCAGGUUGAUUUGAAAUAGUAAAAACAUGCAUGUGUAAGUUCAUAGACGUUCUGAAAUGAUGUUGGAUAUUGCUGGAUGUUUGAACAUAUGAAAUUUGAGCCAAAAUUAUAUGUGUUUGAGUUCUCUGUAGGAGAAUAAAGGAGAGAGCGUCUAAAAUAGAUCAUGGAAAUAUACUCAAUUAGUUUAAUUCGUGGAGCAUGCAAAAUAAAAUUUAUUGGACGAACUUAGUUUAGAACAGUAUGUAUUCCUAAAUUGGACUGUACAAAACCCAAUUUUUGUUUUCUGCAUGUUGGUUACCUAGCUUCUAGGAAGACUGGUCGAAUAAUGUUUUUUCGUUAGUUCCUCUUUUGGGUAUGGACGUGGUAUGUGCCUGUCCCUGCAUACAUUUCAUCUUUUGUGGUUCAAGUAUUAUGUACCUACAGCUAAAUAUUAUUGGCUAGCCUCUAGGAAGACUGAUUGAAUAAUUUUUUUUCCGUUAGUUCCUCUCAAGUCUUUUGGGUAUGGAUGUGGUAUGUGCCUGUCCCCGCACACAUUUCAUCUUUUGUGGUUCAAGUAUGUACCUACAGCUAAAUAUUAUUGGUGUGCUGCAAGUUUUAUCUAUUCUGUUUACUCGCAGUUUUAUGUUGCAAGUAGAAGUAUAGUGGAUUGUCUCAUUGUAGCAAGGCGUGCGUUCUCUUCCAUCUAACCUAUCUCAUCAUUCCGGUUCACCAACUGAAAGAAUUAAUCAGUUUUGCCCGCCCUAUGGUUAACCAUGAGAAACCACCACCUGUUUUAGUGAUAAUCAUUUAAUAACAUAUUCUCUUUUUUUUCAUGUCUAACUUUCUAUUCUGUAUACAAUAGUCGCUCCAUUUCUAAAUAUAUUAUGUUUUGGCAAGUCUAUUUAACUUACGAAAAAAUCUUAUGCUUAGAAACGGAGGGAGUAUAUACAUGUUCAUGACUAUGAAUGUAAGAUCAUAACUAUCUUUGUGUUCUCACUAACAUUGUUGUGUUGAUAGUGUCAAAGCUUCGACUAAUGGGACCAAGUGGAAAAUUUAAUAAAAUUUGGGCAUCUCUUUAAUUUCACAAUUGCUGAGAGUGAUCAUUCUCUGAUUGAAAAAGUUCUAAGUUUUGCGUGAGGAUGUUUGUGUUCAGGUGGUAGUUAACGGUGGAUACCAUGCAAAGACUAUAUGGCUAAUGAUGAAUUGAUAGUGUCUAAACGGUUAUUUCAAUUUAUUUUUCUGCUUGGACUUCUGUAAAUACCUAGGCUACUAACUAUAUGAAAGCAUAUAUUUAGCUCAAAUGUGAGAUAUGUUGACUGUUCUGAUCCGAAUGAUUUUUGUUUCUGAAUUUUUCUUCAGAUAUUCGAGCUCAUAAACUUACAGAAGUCUGAUAACGAUGAAGUGGGAUCUUAGAUUAAAAACAUCAUGUUUGUACAAUAAACAGAUACUACUUAUGGUUGAUAAAAUAUUUAUGGUCUUCAUACUUGAAACAUGCGUCCUUUAUGUCCCAUGUGGCUAAAUUGAUAUAAAAUUGUGUACUUUGUUGUC
Molecule: long non-coding RNA, 3055 nt
Organism: Lolium perenne
Lineage: Eukaryota; Viridiplantae; Streptophyta; Magnoliopsida; Poales; Poaceae
Source: RefSeq, a predicted model, not a curated record